GAUGAACGCUGGCGGCGUGCCUAAUACAUGCAAGUCGAGCGAACAGACGAGUAGCUUGCUCCUCUGACGGUAGCGGCGGACGGGUGAGUAACACGUGGAUAACCUACCUAUAAGACUGGGAUAACUUCGGGAAACCGGAGCUAAUACCGGAUAAUAUAUUGAACCGCAUGGUUCAAUAGUGAAAGACGGUUUUGCUGUCACUUAUAGAUGGAUCCGCGCCGCAUUAGGUAGUUGGUAAGGUAACGGCUUACCAAGGCGACGAUGCGUAGCCGACCUGAGAGGGUGAUCGGCCACACUGGAACUGAGACACGGUCCAGACUCCUACGGGAGGCAGCAGUAGGGAAUCUUCCGCAAUGGGCGAAAGCCUGACGGAGCAACGCCGCGUGAGUGAUGAAGGUCUUCGGAUCGUAAAACUCUGUUAUUCGGGAAGAACAAAUGUGUAAGUAACUAUGCACGUCUUGACGGUACCUAAUCAGAAAGCCACGGCUAACUACGUG
This 497-nucleotide ribosomal RNA is filed under the name uncultured bacterium. Its description in RNAcentral is "partial 16S ribosomal RNA". It matches the Rfam family "Bacterial small subunit ribosomal RNA", at positions 28 to 507 of the family's 1533-position model. The record is from RNAcentral.